Molecule: small nuclear RNA, 283 nt
Filed under: Jaculus jaculus (lesser Egyptian jerboa)
Lineage: Eukaryota; Metazoa; Chordata; Mammalia; Rodentia; Dipodidae
Description: 7SK RNA (ENSJJAG00000003592.1)
Rfam family: 7SK RNA
About the family: 7SK was discovered as an abundant small nuclear RNA in the mid-70s but a possible function has only recently been suggested. Two independent studies have found that 7SK RNA binds the CDK9/cyclin T complex (known as elongation factor P-TEFb).
Source: Rfam by way of RNAcentral
GGACAUGAGGGCCAUCUGGCUAUGACAUCUGUCACCCCCAUUAAUCACCAGGAUUGAUUCCAUUGAUCUGGCUGUCUAGGUGGGUGUCCUUUUCCUCCCUCGCAAUUCCAUGUGUGUCCCUUCUGAAACUGUGCUCGGUUGAAGAGGACAACCUUCCCAGACAGAGGGGACCCCCUUCUUCCCUCAAGGGCAUGUGAGUAGCAUGUGACUACUUUCCUGCCAGAACUUCCAAACAAGUCCCGAAGUUCACAUGGCAAUGCUUAAUCUCCAGCAGCAAUAGUAU